This 218-nucleotide ribosomal RNA is filed under the name Bacillus cereus. RNAcentral describes it as "partial 16S ribosomal RNA". It matches the Rfam family "Bacterial small subunit ribosomal RNA", at positions 1 to 213 of the family's 1533-position model. The record is from RNAcentral. Lineage: Bacteria; Bacillati; Bacillota; Bacilli; Caryophanales; Bacillaceae.
UUAUUGGAGAGUUUGAUCCUGGCUCAGGAUGAACGCUGGCGGCGUGCCUAAUACAUGCAAGUCGAGCGAAUGAAUUAAGAGCUUGCUCUUAUGAAGUUAGCGGCGGACGGGUGAGUAACACGUGGGUAACCUGCCCAUAAGACUGGGAUAACUCCGGGAAACCGGGGCUAAUACCGGAUAACAUUUUGAACCGCAUGGUUCGAAAUUGAAAGGCGGCU